Small nucleolar RNA from Heterocephalus glaber (naked mole-rat), 135 nucleotides. The record is from Ensembl. NCBI's taxonomy places the organism in Eukaryota, Metazoa, Chordata, Mammalia, Rodentia, Bathyergidae.
UUGGCCCUGAAUCAAGGCUGGCACUUUCCGGAAACUGUUGGUUUCAAGCAGGACCCUAAUGACGUCUUUCUGUGCUCUGUUCACCAUUUCAGAACUUUGGAAAUAUAAUGGUCCAUUCAUUAGAGAGAAAUGGCU